This is an RNA transcript of Panthera uncia (snow leopard), 1132 nucleotides long. It is a transcript of the gene named rhox homeobox family member 1-like, with no coding region annotated. The record is from RefSeq and is a predicted model, not a curated record. Lineage: Eukaryota; Metazoa; Chordata; Mammalia; Carnivora; Felidae. The transcript has 4 exons.
UGGGCGUUCUAAGCGAGCGACCGUUGAUCCAGGGGUAGGCGCGCGGUAACCCGGACCCCGUGCCAGAAAGACGACCCGACCCGGGGGGUUGCCGCGGGCCGCAGCGCGGAGUCUAUAAAGGCGCACGGCUGCGUCGACAGCGCUCGGGACAUGGAACCUCCGGCCGGGAGCCCCCUAGAAGACACCGCUUCCCAAAGUCUGGGAGGCGAUGAGUUCCGAGAACGGCAGGACGCUAAGCCUACCGUGAUCUCAGUAACUGGAGGAGACGUCGGGAAGGAUCUACUGUCCGAACCUGAGCGGGGAGCAGCAGCAGAAGGGGAAGAAAGCCACGGCGGCGCGGGAGCUCCCGGCCCCGUAGACGAGAUCCAGAAGGGCGGCGACGGUGGAGAGGAGCCCCCGCAGCAGCAGCAGGAGGCCCACGCGGCCACCGAGGAUCCGCAGCCCCAGGACAGGCAGCCACGCCUCCGCCACCUGUUCACGCGGUUGGAACUGAAGGAGCUGGAGAGCGUUUUCCAACGCACCCAGUACCCCGACGUGUUCGCGCGGUGAGUGGCUCGCUCUGGAGGCGCCCAGUUCUCUAGGACGCUAGGGGCUCGGCGGCGUGGGACGCCUUUGGCUCUCUCCCGGGUCUCUCUCCCUCCCUUCCAGAGCCAAAGCUACCUAUGGGCUGGAAGCCACCAAAAUCUGCCAGCCCUUGAGCUCCGUCCAAGGUGGGAGUGAUGCCUACAGGGCUGGGCAUCGAGAAAGGAGAUUACCAUAUGUAUGGAUGUGACUCAAACCGAGGCACAGCAAUAGAACACAGGCGAGGGAGGUACAGAGAGAGGGAGACAGAGGAUCCGAAGCAGGCUCUUCACUGACAGCAGAGAACCCGACGCGGGGCUCGAACUCACAAACCAUGAGAUCUGAACUGAACUGACGUCGGACGCUUAACCGAUUGAACCACCCAGGCGCCCCAAGAACAAUUUUUAAUACAGUUUCACUGAGCUAAGAAGGGUGAAAAGCUUAGAGAAGAAUUGCAUACAAACAUAUACCUUGAAGAUACAGCACAGAUUGAGCUCUAUGAGUGAAUAUUCUCGAGGACUUUCUAACAUCUAAGGAUUUUUUUUUUUUUUUGGUGGUACUAUUUUGAAGA